Non-coding RNA from Pelodiscus sinensis (Chinese soft-shelled turtle), 303 nucleotides. It matches the Rfam family "Metazoan signal recognition particle RNA". Rfam says of the family: The signal recognition particle (SRP) is a universally conserved ribonucleoprotein. It is involved in the co-translational targeting of proteins to membranes. The record is from Rfam. Lineage: Eukaryota; Metazoa; Chordata; Testudines; Trionychidae.
GCCCUGUGGUGGGUACUUGUGAACCCAGCGCCCGGGGAGGCUGAGGGCAGCAGAUCGCUUGAGCUCAGGAGUCCUGUGCUGCAGGAGGCUGUGCUGAGCGAGUGUACGCGCUAAGGGCCGCAUCAACAUGGGGUCCCUGGGGAGCCUGGGGUCCCCAGGUUGCCUAAGGAGGGGCAAAUUGGCUCAGGUCCAGAACGGAGCAGGUCAAAGCUCCCAUGUUGCUCAGUAGUGGGUUAGCGCAUGUAGUGGGAUAGCGUAGCCCCUGCAGCGCAACCUGGGCGAGACACGGAGACCCGGCCUCUU